This is a long non-coding RNA of Strigops habroptila (Kakapo), 869 nucleotides long. RefSeq lists it as uncharacterized. The record is from RefSeq and is a predicted model, not a curated record. NCBI's taxonomy places the organism in Eukaryota, Metazoa, Chordata, Aves, Psittaciformes, Psittacidae. The transcript is spliced from 3 exons.
CACACGGACGGUCAGUCAGUCACAGCCCUGCACCCCGCGCCCGUCAGCGAGAGCGCUGCAUUUUCAGAGAGCCGAAAAGUGAAAAAAACAUUAAAGGAGGAGAAUCGCAACCCCUCCUCUGUAUUUUCAGGCAGGGCCCUCCAACAAAAUCAGCCUGUCACGCGAAACGGCGGAGGAGGAAGGACCGAAAAUAAAGAUGUCUGUGUGCUGCCACCGUAGAGGGCAGCGGGGCGGCGAGCCCCCGCCUCGCAAGCCCGCGGUCCUGCUGAACGGCACCUGCCGGGGAGCCCCAUCGCCUGCCCGCGGCACGCCCGGGCUGCGGCAGCUCGUCCGCCCGUCCGCUGCCCUCGCCGGCCCGGAGGAACGAGGCGGGCUCAGGGGGACUGCGUCCUGUCAGUACUACAAUGGUUUGGGAUUUCAUGGAAGCAAGAAGGGGGAUGGACAGAUUCAUGCACCGUGCAAACCAAGGAAUGCCACCCGUGGCAGCCCCAUGGCGGUCAGCUGGCACAACUCGCUGUCCAGCAAGAGGGAGGGAUGUCUCCAUUGGGAUUGAGUACUCAUCGCCUUUUUGCAGGGGUGGAAGCCAUUUCCAGCUUUGCGUGGCUGAAGAAGAAAGGCCAAGGAGCUGAUCUUCAAUUGUAUGGAAUGAGCAGCAACAGAUGGAGAAGUAGGAGACAAAUGAAUUGUUCCUUCCCUUUCUGGAUCUCUCUCUGGAUUCAAUUAUCUAGGGAUUUUGUAGCUGUCAACUGAUGGAUGUGCAGUCUACCAGUGCCUGCUGGCUAAUCCACUUUGAGGCUGUAUUAGAUUGGUUGAAAAAUGAUUGAAUUAGAAUAAUAUUCUGCUGUAACAUAAAGCAAUAGUGGGAGAAU